AUGGGCAGAGCACCUGAGGUCUGCAGUCAGCAGCCCAGUCCGGGUGAUGCCUCCUGGGAAGGGGCCCAGACUUGGGAGUAACGGCGUCACUGAUGUGGGUCCCUGGCCCCACUGUGGGGUGUUCAGGGUUGUGCCUAUUGGACUGCCCGCCUCACCAUCCCACCCUAGUGAGCCUCCUUCCUCAGCCAUUGUCCAGCUUCGUGUCUGAAGUCCUGGCGUGGGGCUCACCGCCUGCCCCUUGACCGUGGAGUUCGGAUGCAUCUCACAGUGAGUGCCCCAGCAGCACAGGGUUGGGGGCUGAGCAUCAGGGGCUCUGCUAGAGCAGGUGGCAAUUCCCUGGAACCUGGGGUCUUGCCUUUGUUUGGAGACCAAGAGACUCAGUGUGGGAGGGUCACAGGACAUGUCAUUGGCAGUGAAAAGGUUGUGUUCCGUUUCCUGCCUCCAGAACUUGCACGUGCUGGAAUCCAAGGAUGGGUGGGAGAGGGGCUGUUCCUGGAGAUGUCUGCCCUUCGGGGCUGGCCCAUGCCACAGGACCUCCCAUCACCCCUGCUGCCUUGGUUGGUGAAUUCAGGGCAUGCUGAGCCUUUCCCUUGCAGCCUUUGCACUUGGUACUCUUCCCUCCGCUUAUCAAACUCCUAA
Molecule: small RNA, 639 nt
Filed under: Pan troglodytes (chimpanzee)
Lineage: Eukaryota; Metazoa; Chordata; Mammalia; Primates; Hominidae
Description: pseudogene
Source: RNAcentral